AACCACAACUAAAUAAAUAUACAAGUCAUCAUACAUUCAAUAUCCAUACACCAUUUACCACAGGUUCAUAAACAGAGAUCUGAAUAUAAAUCCACAACUAUCAGUUAAAACAUUUCCUACCCGGAAACUUAUUUUAAAAUACUAAGUCAAGAAAACUACGAGAAAACUCUUUUGAAAGCUGUUUUCCACACGGAAACCUUUUCUUUUGAAAACACGCUACCACGAGGGGUAGAAAACCUUUCCUUUUUACAAACAUUCAGAAAUCUUUAUCUCAUUCGGAAAACCAACUAAAAUCUUGAAUAAUUAAACAUAAUGAAAUACUGAAUCAUAUAGAUGUCUAAGUCAUAUCAACAGAAAUAACAAAGGUAGUAACUAAACUACACAAACCGGGUCAGAAGUUCUAUCGACAGCUAUCCGCGUGUCUCACGUCUCGUCUCAAUCUCACCGCCCGCAAUACCUAAAAAAUGGUGGGGAAUGUGAGAACAUGUAAACAUGUCUCCCCUCCAAGUGGGUACCGCAAGCCGAUAAAGGCGAGGAGUACUCACCGGAUCAGGAAGAGAUAAACAAGAUAAUAAGCAGAUAUACUGAAUACAGUAGCAAUAAACUGAAAGAAAGUAGGAACUAUACUAAAUAACGGCUACCGCUACUGUAACUAGAACAGAAAGCAUACAUG
This 673-nucleotide long non-coding RNA is filed under the name Ananas comosus (pineapple). Its description in RNAcentral is "long non-coding RNA (ACOM_LNC029094)". The record is from RNAcentral. Lineage: Eukaryota; Viridiplantae; Streptophyta; Magnoliopsida; Poales; Bromeliaceae.